AUGCCAUGGGCCCCAUUUUACAGAUUAAGAUACUGGGGUUCAGAGUGGCUAAGUUCCUUGCCAAAGUCUUUCAAAGCAGAGAAGUCUGUGGAAGAUCUUCCCCAGGCCUUCCUGCUCUGGAGAACAGGAGACUCGGUGGGGUGGGACAGGAUGGGGCCAGGUGGAGGGGAGGUGGGGUGCAGAGUCACGGCCAAGACCUCAGCUCCUGCAGAUUGCCUGGCGCCAAGGCCUAGUGGGGCCCAAGAACCAGGAGACUCCCUGCUUUCACAGCAAGUCAGAGCCGACAGGGUCUCAGAGAUGGUGCCUUGGUCUCCUCUGUCGCAGCAUGCAGGGAGGUGGGGACAAUGCCCGGGAGCCGAAGGCAGCUUCACAGGGACACUGAGCUGCGAGGGCAGCCUCAGCCCGUUCCCCACUAAGCACCUGCCUUCCCAUCUCUCCCUCAGCCUGAGACCCUGUUUCAGGCUCAAAGUGCUCAUUGCGGAUUCUCCAGCUCUGACUCUCUGUCUUGGUCUCUCUCAGCUUCUGAAUCUGUCCCAGGGUCUCUCUUUAUCUCUCCCCAUGCACUUUGACACUCUGAAUCUUGGCUCCGGUCUUUGUCUCUCUUCCUCUUCACUCCUCUGUUGCUGUUUCUCUCUUUCCAAAAGUCUGUCUAUUGUGGAUGCAUCUCUCUCUCUACCUCCCAUCUUCUGUGUCUUUGUCUGUCCCUUUCUGUCUCUGUGUCCCCCUCUGUCUCUGUCUCCCAGGCUCUGUACUAUCUCUCUGCCACUCUCCCUGUCUCCUUGCCUCUAUCAGUAUCUUUCUGAGUCUCUCACUCAGCAUGUGUCUCUCUGGGUCUCUGACUCUGGGGAAAGCAAUGUUUCCUCCACAGCAUCCCCAUCCCUGGCCUGCAGCACUCCCGUGGAGGAGGCGGGGGACCCCUGGGCAUCAUUCCAGGGUCUGCUCCAUCUGGGUGGCGGCACUGACAGACAAGAUAGGGAUCAGGCCUUGGCUCUGUCCGGGCCUGAGCAAGGGGGCACAGCCGGGGUAUGCGGGGGUGUCUCGGUGCCGAAAAUGUUUGUGCACCUCUGGGUUUGUGUGCGGGUCUGUCUGUGUGGGGUGGUCUAG
This 1104-nucleotide long non-coding RNA is filed under the name Canis lupus familiaris (dog). Its description in RNAcentral is "lncRNA (ENSCAFG00040001353.1)". The record is from RNAcentral. Lineage: Eukaryota; Metazoa; Chordata; Mammalia; Carnivora; Canidae.